Molecule: ribosomal RNA, 425 nt
Filed under: uncultured bacterium
Lineage: Bacteria
Description: bacterial SSU rRNA
Rfam family: Bacterial small subunit ribosomal RNA
Source: RNAcentral
GUGGGGAAUCUUGCGCAAUGGGCGAAAGCCUGACGCAGCCAUGCCGCGUGAAUGAUGAAGGUCUUAGGAUUGUAAAAUUCUUUCACCGGGGACGAUAAUGACGGUACCCGGAGAAGAAGCUCCGGCUAACUUCGUGCCAGCAGCCGCGGUAAUACGAAGGGGGCUAGCGUUGCUCGGAAUUACUGGGCGUAAAGGGCGCGUAGGCGGACAGUUUAGUCAGAGGUGAAAGCCCAGGGCUCAACCUUGGAAUUGCCUUUGAUACUGGCUGUCUUGAGUACGGGAGAGGUGAGUGGAACUCCGAGUGUAGAGGUGAAAUUCGUAGAUAUUCGGAAGAACACCAGUGGCGAAGGCGACUCACUGGCCCGUUACUGACGCUGAGGCGCGAAAGCGUGGGGAGCAAACAGGAUUAGAUACCCGGGUAGUCC